CCGCCAGAGAACAAACUCUCUUUGACUACACGCAUGAAAUUUGGUGCCAUGACUCGGAUCAGGGGACCUCCCUUGGGAGAUCAAUCCCCUAUCCUCCUGCUCUUUGCUCCGUGAGAAAGAUCCACCUACGAUCUCAGGUCCUCAGACCGACCAGCCCAAGAAACAUCUCACCAAUUUCAAAUCCGCGGCUGAAGACUGACACUGCCCGAUCGCCUCGGAAGCCCCCUAGACCAUCACGGACGGCAAGCUUCAGCUGGCGUGGUGGCUUAUGGCUAUAAUCCCAGCACUUUGGGAGGCUGAGAUGGGAGGAUUGCAGCCAUGAGUUCAAGACCAGCCUGGGCAACAAAGCAAGACACUCAUCUCUACAAAUUUUUUUAAGUUCAUUGGGAAGUAUCCACAAGCCUCAGAGCCAACCAGAUCAUCACACUGAGGAAGAAAUAGACUAGGGAUUCUUCAUCAUGAUCUUUAAAGAGCAACCAUGCUGACACCAUAAGAGUUCCAAGCAAGGAACCCUCUCAAACCCUGUUGCAGCCUGUCACAUGUACUGUGACAGCACCCAUGCACGUGGAAAGAGAUUCAAAGCAAACUCCUGAAUGGCAAGAUCUCCCUUCUCCCAUCAGUUUUCCCCCAGGGAGAGAGGCCCACCAGAAUCCUGAAGGAGCUGUUCCCUGAAAUUUAAGUGAUGACAUGAAUCUGAGGACCUGAGGGAUGGAUGUAGAAGACACAGAGCUGUUUUACCUUCAAAAAUUCCCUUUCAAGGAAGGACUUGUCCCAGGUCCUAAGAGCGCUGUCAGAAAAACAUCCUCCAGCUCUCAGCUCUUUUCAGGCUUUCUCCUCACUGCAGGGUGCCAACUCAUCUGAGAGCACUCCCUUUCUGGGGUGGAAGACAUCCAGAGACUGACUGUGGCGUGGCUAUAAAGGCCCAGCCAUUUCAGCCCGCGAGGGGAUGACUCAGAGGAUCCCUUAUCCUCUAGAGCACUCCAGUGGGGUCGGUCCGCAUCACAGCCUGAUUUCUGUCUUUUCCUAAUCUGCUUCCUCCCGCUAGCUCCCACAAGAAUUGAUUCCUCAUGGAAAUCCUGCAUGCUAAACUCCAUCUCAGAAUUGUGUGCUUACAGCAAACACAACCUGAAACACUAGCCUUUCUAAAGCUUCAGUCCUGUCUGUUAUUUAGUUCCUUCUAUAUAUAUAUAUGUAUAUUCUCUUCUUAAAAUUCUCAUUCGCUCCAAAUCUUACGUCUUUGUCUAAGCUCUAGACUUACAUUUCCUUCCGUCCAUUUGUUAUUUUCACUGAGUAUCCCAGCAUCAAUUCAAGCUGUCCAAAAUGAACACAUCUCUUCCUCCUUAUAACAUUCUAAUUUAUGUUGAUGAUAUUUAUCUUCUUAUGUCCUUCCCCAUAUUCCACCUAUGGUAUUUUAGGCUCAUAAUUAUUUUGUUACCUUUAAUCUCUCACAUCGUAAUAGGCUUUCAAAUAGCUGACUUUUUCUCUGCUGUAAUUACCCACAUCUUUCUACUUGCUUGUCUAGAGGGACUCUGCCUGUCUUUUCCCCCACACCCUCCUCAUUGUAGCACAUUCUUGCACAGUAUCCUAAAUCAGAGUAGGUUCUUAACUCUUAUUUUUUCUAAUGAAUACUGACUGCAAUAGCUACUGCAAAGAUUUUUCCUCUGGCAUUUCCAUCCUCCCAAACUGUCUGUGCACUGUAGCCACACUGAUAUUCCAUACUGCAAAUCACUCUUAUUUGAUUGAUUUUCCUUUUCUAAAAUCUUCAGGAUUUCCUGAAGGAAAUAUCCUUAUUUCCCUAAGGAUAUGAGCCAGAUUCCUUGGGUUGGUCUUCAAAGCUUUGCACUGUCUAAAUGCACUCUCCUAACCUGAUUUGUCAUUUGUUCUUGAUAGUAAAUUAUCUGUUCUUAACCAGGUCCUUCUGCCCCCCACCAGAAGAGUGAUGUUGUUCUGAUCAGCCUUUCCUCAAAUUGUUCCAUAAUGUGGACUAUGGGGGUAACCCUGCUAGCUGAAAUUCUCCCUCUCUCUGAAUCUGACACCUUUUCCACUGUUUCAGCCAAUCAUCUUUCCCUCAUCUGAACUCCUAUACAGGAGUGGACUUUGCAUCACUCAAUUUUUUACUUUGCAUACAUCAGUAAAUGUAUUUUAAGUCUCUACCAUGUUUUAAACACUAAACUGAAUGCUGAGAAGACAGAGUAAUGAGAAGUGUUUUCUGUUCUCAGGAAGUACUGAGGCGGAGUAGAUGCAUAAAUAAGCUAGUGCAGUGAGACUCGAAGGGGCUCUAAUACAUGUCUGCUUUGCAUAAAACAACAGGCAAACGAUUUUCAGGAGUAUUGGAAGGGCAACAUAAAGGAAAGAAUAUUUGUGUUUUCUCUUGAUAAAUAAAUAGAUGGUCACUAGAAUUGUGCUGUCGGGAUAGGUUUAUGGGGUGUAUAUUCUUGGCAGAAGAGACAAGCUGAACAGAAGCAGGGAAAAUGGACUAGCAGGUGAAAUCUAAGGAACCGCUCUUGUGGGCAGCAGAAGACGUGGGAAGUAAAGGGAGAGCUUGUACCCAGAUCUCAGGCGACCUUGUGAGGCAUUCCAAGGAGUCUGAAUUUUGUUUUGUUGGCAGUGAGGAGGGAACACCACAAAAUAUGUUUAAUUCAGUGAAUAACAUGUUCAAAUUUGAGUUUUAGGAUGAUCACAAAAUCACAUAUUAUUAUUUGCUUUUAAAAAUAUAGAUCCAGUCUCUAAAUAUAAAACAAGUUGUUGGAAGAAAGUGUCUUGGAUAUGAUAGGAGAUUUAAAAAAAUGCAAUUUUUUUUCCUUCAUCCUACUGCCAAUAAAAGUUAAGUUUUAGUUACCUUAAGCCAGUAGCUUUAAACAGUUGGGCACAUAUACGUACCAUGCACACGCAUAUAUUCUAAACAUCAAAUCACACAGAUUCUGCUUUAAGCAAAGCAAAACAAAAAUACUACUAAGCAGUUAAGUGAAAGGAUACUACUUACAAGAGAUUGAAUUUGUCCUUGUAAAAAUAGCCUCCAAAUUUCAUUUACAUAAAGAGUUCUCCUCUGGCCCUUGUGUUUGUUUACACAUCAUCACUUGAUGAAGGGGUUGAAUAGCUGAGAAAGUAAAGUGCUAUAAGCAUCUUCACUUAGGGAUAAAUCCCAAUAAAGUUAACACAUAUUUGAAAUGACAAUGUAAUGAACCAUUUCACAGGAACUGACUUCACACACAACUUUUCAAGAAUAUUAUCUGUUACACAGUGGAAGGGAGGUAUCCUUGUGUGUGCUGGGACAGCGUAACGGAUUGCAGUUCAGGAUGUAAGAACAAAGGUUUUACACAACAGGCAACAGAAAUGCAACAGUAGAUACAACUUAGAAACCGGUUUUACUCUGCUGCAAACAAAUGGACAAGAUAUUGUACAAUAUGUAAUAAAAAGUACAGCAUAAUACAAGUGCCACUAAUAAAAGAAACUUAAGGAUAAGACUU
Homo sapiens (human) is the source of this 3467-nucleotide long non-coding RNA. The record is from Ensembl. NCBI's taxonomy places the organism in Eukaryota, Metazoa, Chordata, Mammalia, Primates, Hominidae.